UUAAGCGACUAAGCGUACACGGUGGAUGCCCUGGCAGUCAGAGGCGAUGAAGGACGUGCUAAUCUGCGAUAAGCGUCGGUAAGGUGAUAUGAACCGUUAUAACCGGCGAUUUCCGAAUGGGGAAACCCAGUGUGAUUCGUCACACUAUCAUUAACUGAAUCCAUAGGUUAAUGAGGCGAACCGGGGGAACUGAAACAUCUAAGUACCCCGAGGAAAAGAAAUCAACCGAGAUUCCCCCAGUAGCGGCGAGCGAACGGGGAGCAGCCCAGAGCCUGAAUCAGUGUGUGUGUUAGUGGAAGCGUCUGGAAAGGCGUGCGAUACAGGGUGACAGCCCCGUACACAAAAAUGCACAUAUUGUGAGCUCGAUGAGUAGGGCGGGACACGUGGUAUCCUGUCUGAAUAUGGGGGGACCAUCCUCCAAGGCUAAAUACUCCUGACUGACCGAUAGUGAACCAGUACCGUGAGGGAAAGGCGAAAAGAACCCCGGCGAGGGGAGUGAAAAAGAACCUGAAACCGUGUACGUACAAGCAGUGGGAGCACGCUUAGGCGUGUGACUGCGUACCUUUUGUAUAAUGGGUCAGCGACUUAUAUUCUGUAGCAAGGUUAACCGAAUAGGGGAGCCGAAGGGAAACCGAGUCUUAACUGGGCGUUAAGUUGCAGGGUAUAGACCCGAAACCCGGUGAUCUAGCCAUGGGCAGGUUGAAGGUUGGGUAACACUAACUGGAGGACCGAACCGACUAAUGUUGAAAAAUUAGCGGAUGACUUGUGGCUGGGGUGAAAGGCCAAUCAAACCGGGAGAUAGCUGGUUCUCCCGAAAGCUAUUUAGGUAGCGCCUCGUGAAUUCAUCUCCGGGGGUAGAGCACUGUUUCGGCAAGGGGGUCAUCCCGACUUACCAACCCGAUGCAAACUGCGAAUACCGGAGAAUGUUAUCACGGGAGACACACGGCGGGUGCUAACGUCCGUCGUGAAGAGGGAAACAACCCAGACCGCCAGCUAAGGUCCCAAAGUCAUGGUUAAGUGGGAAACGAUGUGGGAAGGCCCAGACAGCCAGGAUGUUGGCUUAGAAGCAGCCAUCAUUUAAAGAAAGCGUAAUAGCUCACUGGUCGAGUCGGCCUGCGCGGAAGAUGUAACGGGGCUAAACCAUGCACCGAAGCUGCGGCAGCGACACUAUGUGUUGUUGGGUAGGGGAGCGUUCUGUAAGCCUGUGAAGGUGUACUGUGAGGUAUGCUGGAGGUAUCAGAAGUGCGAAUGCUGACAUAAGUAACGAUAAAGCGGGUGAAAAGCCCGCUCGCCGGAAGACCAAGGGUUCCUGUCCAACGUUAAUCGGGCAGGGUGAGUCGACUCCUAAGGCGAGGCCGAAAGGCGUAGUCGAUGGGAAACAGGUUAAUAUUCCUGUACUUGGUGUUACUGCGAAGGGGGACGGAGAAGGCUAUGUUGGCCGGGCGACGGUUGUCCCGGUUUAAGCGUGUAGGCUGGUUUUCCAGGCAAAUCCGGAAAACUAAGGCUGAGGCGUGAUGACGAGGCACUACGGUGCUGAAGCAACAAAUGCCCUGCUUCCAGGAAAAGCCUCUAAGCAUCAGGUAACAUCAAAUCGUACCCCAAACCGACACAGGUGGUCAGGUAGAGAAUACCAAGGCGCUUGAGAGAACUCGGGUGAAGGAACUAGGCAAAAUGGUGCCGUAACUUCGGGAGAAGGCACGCUGAUAUGUAGGUGAAGUCCCUCGCGGAUGGAGCUGAAAUCAGUCGAAGAUACCAGCUGGCUGCAACUGUUUAUUAAAAACACAGCACUGUGCAAACACGAAAGUGGACGUAUACGGUGUGACGCCUGCCCGGUGCCGGAAGGUUAAUUGAUGGGGUCAGCGCAAGCGAAGCUCUUGAUCGAAGCCCCGGUAAACGGCGGCCGUAACUAUAACGGUCCUAAGGUAGCGAAAUUCCUUGUCGGGUAAGUUCCGACCUGCACGAAUGGCGUAAUGAUGGCCAGGCUGUCUCCACCCGAGACUCAGUGAAAUUGAACUCGCUGUGAAGAUGCAGUGUACCCGCGGCAAGACGGAAAGACCCCGUGAACCUUUACUAUAGCUUGACACUGAACAUUGAGCCUUGAUGUGUAGGAUAGGUGGGAGGCUUUGAAGUGUGGACGCCAGUCUGCAUGGAGCCGACCUUGAAAUACCACCCUUUAAUGUUUGAUGUUCUAACGUUGACCCGUAAUCCGGGUUGCGGACAGUGUCUGGUGGGUAGUUUGACUGGGGCGGUCUCCUCCUAAAGAGUAACGGAGGAGCACGAAGGUUGGCUAAUCCUGGUCGGACAUCAGGAGGUUAGUGCAAUGGCAUAAGCCAGCUUGACUGCGAGCGUGACGGCGCGAGCAGGUGCGAAAGCAGGUCAUAGUGAUCCGGUGGUUCUGAAUGGAAGGGCCAUCGCUCAACGGAUAAAAGGUACUCCGGGGAUAACAGGCUGAUACCGCCCAAGAGUUCAUAUCGACGGCGGUGUUUGGCACCUCGAUGUCGGCUCAUCACAUCCUGGGGCUGAAGUAGGUCCCAAGGGUAUGGCUGUUCGCCAUUUAAAGUGGUACGCGAGCUGGGUUUAGAACGUCGUGAGACAGUUCGGUCCCUAUCUGCCGUGGGCGCUGGAGAACUGAGGGGGGCUGCUCCUAGUACGAGAGGACCGGAGUGGACGCAUCACUGGUGUUCGGGUUGUCAUGCCAAUGGCACUGCCCGGUAGCUAAAUGCGGAAGAGAUAAGUGCUGAAAGCAUCUAAGCACGAAACUUGCCCGAGAUGAGUUCUCCCUGACUCCUUGAGAGUCCUGAAGGAACGUUGAAGACGACGACGUUGAUAGGCCGGGUGUGUAAGCGCAGCGAUGCGUUGAGCUAACCGGUACUAAUGAACCGUGAGGCUUAACCUU
RNAcentral lists this ribosomal RNA (2896 nucleotides) under Shigella dysenteriae. RNAcentral's name for it is "bacterial LSU rRNA". It matches the Rfam family "Bacterial large subunit ribosomal RNA". The record is from RNAcentral. Lineage: Bacteria; Pseudomonadati; Pseudomonadota; Gammaproteobacteria; Enterobacterales; Enterobacteriaceae.